Molecule: long non-coding RNA, 1199 nt
Organism: Bactrocera dorsalis (oriental fruit fly)
Lineage: Eukaryota; Metazoa; Arthropoda; Insecta; Diptera; Tephritidae
Exons: 4
Source: RefSeq, a predicted model, not a curated record
UCUUCUUUUUUCUAAAUUAUCUCCGCUCAAUGGAAAUAAUUUGGGAAUUGUUUGAUUCUAACCGCUUAGCAAUGAAACGUUUGCUGUAUGAGCACGUAGCACUAAAAAUGUGUAGGCUAUAUAAAGCAAAUUCAACAAGGUCUAUUUGGAUAAACGCAAACUCGUGGCCAAACGUUUUGGGAAGUCGACUGCCAGGUGAAUUCAGAUGCAUUUUUUAAAAAGAACUUCCGAAUGAAGCGCAAUUAUUUCAUUAAAUUGUGUAUUAUGUUGAAAGGCUUGGAGAAGAAAAACACUAACUACCGGAAAGCAAUUCAAUUAGAGAAACGCGUUGCUAUUGCAUUAUAUGUUCUUAGCUCUUCUGCAGAAUACCUAACAAUUGGAAAUAUGUUCGGAAUUGGUAAAAACACUGUCUGCUCCAUUCUAAUUGAUAUCUGUCAUGUAUUUGAAGAAAUUCCCAAUGAACGAAAUUCAAUUGCGCGACUAAUUAAAUGGUUUUGAGUCAUUGGGUUUCCCUCAAGUGUUAGGAGCUAUAGAUGGUUGUCAUAUAGAAGUUCGCCCAGCUGCAGAAGAUGCUGUUGACUACUACAGUUACAAAGGCUGGUAUUCCAAAGUUCUUUUGGCUUUAGUAGAUGCAAGCCAACACGAAAAUUGUCAUAAAAGCGUGCUGCGUUUUGCACAACUUUUUAAAUGAGGAAAAUGACGAAAUUGUGGAUUGCAGCAUAACAAAUCGAAAACGAAUCUCGGCAGUUGCCAGAAGACGUCUCUAACAUUUGUGGAAAUUUCAAUCCAAGAGCAGAGGAAAUAAGACGAGCGUUCGUUUCGUAUUUCGGUGAGUUAUUACAUUCAAAUUUGAAAUAUUAUUAAAUCUCAACCGAUCCAUAUUUACAUACAUAUCUCAUAAUUCAAUUCCAGUACAAAAAACAGAUAUUUAUAUAUAUUAUGUAUCUAUAUACAGUGACGAGCAAUACUGUAACACCCCACAGUGAUCCAUCCUAAAAUGACGUCGUAAACAAAAAUAAAGAAGGAUUUUAAUGAUUUAUUUUUUGUUUUCAAUUAAUUGUAGCCUUAGCUUUAUUAAAGUAACUAAUCAUGGUAAUUUAAUAACAAUUCAAUAUGUUUAAAAGUAAUAACGUAAAAAAAGCUCAAUGUUACAGUUUUGCAUUCGGUGUAAUGUUAAAAUAUAAUAAUCAAAAAGUUAA